ACUCAAAUGAAUAGACGGGGACCCGCACAACCUGUGGAGCGUGUGGUUCAAUUCGAGACGAAACGAAGGACCUCACCAGGGCUUGACAUGCUACCGUUUAUUUUUCCAGAGAUGGAGAGAAAUCCGCAAGGAUGGUAGCACAGGUGCUGCAUGGCUGUCGUCAGCUCGUGCCGUGAGGUGUUCCCUUAAGUGGGGAAACGAGCGCAACCCCCAUCCAAUGUUACAUUAUUCAUUGGAAACUGCUCCAGAUUUUCUGGGGAGGAAGGAGGGGUAGACGUCAAGUCAGCACGGCCCUUAUGCCCUGGGCCACACACACACUACAAUGGCGAAAAACAACGAGCCGCAAGCACGCGAGUGCAAGCAAAUCUCUCAAAUUUCGCCUCAGUUCAGAUUGGAGUCUGCAACUCGACUCCAUGAAGCCGGAAUAGGUAGUAAUCGCGGAUCAGCAAGCCGCGGUGAAUACGUUCUCGGGUCUUGUACACACCGCCCGU
This 491-nucleotide ribosomal RNA is filed under the name uncultured bacterium. Its description in RNAcentral is "partial 16S ribosomal RNA". It matches the Rfam family "Bacterial small subunit ribosomal RNA", at positions 899 to 1397 of the family's 1533-position model. The record is from RNAcentral.